UUUUGGGUAGCUCAGCAGUAGAGUGUUUGCCUAGCAUGCAGAGGCCCUAGGUUCACUCCCUAGCACUAGAA
This 71-nucleotide transfer RNA is filed under the name Dipodomys ordii (Ord's kangaroo rat). It matches the Rfam family "tRNA". From Rfam's summary of the family: Transfer RNA (tRNA) molecules are approximately 80 nucleotides in length. Their secondary structure includes four short double-helical elements and three loops (D, anti-codon, and T loops). The record is from Rfam by way of RNAcentral. Lineage: Eukaryota; Metazoa; Chordata; Mammalia; Rodentia; Heteromyidae.